This 74-nucleotide transfer RNA is filed under the name Candidatus Parcubacteria bacterium. RNAcentral describes it as "tRNA-Ala". It matches the Rfam family "tRNA". Rfam says of the family: Transfer RNA (tRNA) molecules are approximately 80 nucleotides in length. Lineage: Bacteria; Candidatus Parcubacteria. The record is from RNAcentral.
GGGCCCGUGGUAUACCGGCAACACGCUUCCAUGGCAUGGAAGAGUAAGGGGUUCAAUUCCCCUCGGGUCCACCA